GACGAACGCUGGCGGCGUGCUUAACACAUGCAAGUCGAACGGAAAGGCCCUGCUUUUGUGGGGUGCUCGAGUGGCGAACGGGUGAGUAACACGUGAGUAACCUGCCAUUGACUUUGGGAUAACUUCAGGAAACUGGGGCUAAUACCGGAUAGGAGCUCCUGCUGCAUGGUGGGGGUUGGAAAGUUUCGGCGGUUGGGGAUGGACUCGCGGCUUAUCAGCUUGUUGGUGUGGUAGUGGCUUACCAAGGCUUUGACGGGUAGCCGGCCUGCGAGGGUGACCGGCCAAAUUGGGACGGGGAUACGGCCCAGACUCCUACGGUAGGCAGCAGUGGGGAAUAGUGCACAAUGGGCGGAAGCCUGAUGCAGCAACGCCGCGUGCGGGAUGACGGCCUUCGGGUUGUAAACCGCAGUCGCCUGUGACGAAGCGUGAGUGACGGUAAUGGGUAAAGAAGCACCGGCUAACUACGUG
RNAcentral lists this ribosomal RNA (468 nucleotides) under uncultured bacterium. RNAcentral describes it as "partial 16S ribosomal RNA". It matches the Rfam family "Bacterial small subunit ribosomal RNA", at positions 28 to 507 of the family's 1533-position model. The record is from RNAcentral.